GAGAGAGAGAGAGAGAGAGAGAGAGAGAGAGAGAGAGAGAGCAGGGAGGAAGAAGGGAGGGAAGGGGCGGCCGGAUCCUGCGAGGCUGGGUUGGAGCCCCGGUGGUGGUGCUGCUGCUGUUGGCACAUUUGAUGCAGAGCAGCCACUGUAAGUUUCUCCCCCUUCUCUAAUUAGUAUUCAGAUUCCUCUCCCUUGUCUAAUCAUUAUUGAGAUUCCAUUGCUAUUUGAUGGAGAGCAGCCACCAAGAGUUCCUCUUUUGAUGCACAACGGCCACCGAAACCAUCUCUCUUUCUCUCUCUAAUUGAUUCUCAGCUACAAAAUGACGUGUGUCUGUGUACUUGCUAAUGUGAUGGCUAAUGCAUGUGGAUUGAUUCAUGAAUUAGCAAUAUAUUUCCCGUGAGAUGUGCUAAUAUACAAAUUUUAUGUUUACAGUGCCCUCUACUUGUUUGUUGUUAUGCCUAUAAGAGAUGAUUUUUUUAAUUUUAAAUAGAAAAGCACAAUACAGUUGCUCUUAUACAGCUUAUGAAAAGCAAUUACAAGUAAGAGGAGUGGUGUGUUCUCCUUAAAACGAAAUUGCAGGAGUUCACACGCAUGGUGGCGCCAUACAUCGGGUGCAUGGUGGCAGAGUUCACAAGCCAGGUCACUGAUUGGCGUAAUGGUUGUCCUGAUGCAGAGGAGGACAAGGUUCAAGGUGCUGGGCCGGUGACAGGGGCAGCAUGAUGUUUCCGUCAGGUAACAACCUAGCCAUCGACUCAAGAUUUAACUGAACCAAUUCCUUUAAUUCAAGCUCCAAAUUGUUGUUAUUCGAUUCGUUCAUUUGUUACUGGCAACAACUAACUGUACAUAUAAUUGUUGAUUUAUGUACAAACAAUAUCUUCACUUGUUCCAAAUCUUCAAUAAGGAUCAUCAAGCCCUAUGUUCUUUAUCUGAAGAAUAGAAAUUGUAAUUGUGCCAUCCAUUACCUCUGAAAGUCAGGAAUCGGAAAAAAGUCAUUUGCAUAUCUCUGUCACCAAGGAAGGUUGGUUAGACAGAAAAAGGACCUCUGGUUAUGUAUGACAUGAUGCAAGGCACAUAUCUCUGAAUGAAGCGGAACAUGAAUUGACAUCAUCUAAUGCUAACUGCUGACCAUUCUUCUCUGGAGUAUCAGUUCAGUAUCCCAUAUGCCCCCUAUUCAUCUGUCAUCUCUACAUGAAAAUUUAAUGCAGUUUUUAAUCCUAUGUUUAAGUGUAGCUAAAUUUCUGUGGACCAAUCAUAUUAUCUUUCCGAGAUAACAGAUCAACCUUCAUCAUGUACUUCUGUUGUAACUUCUCUCAUCUUUUGUGCUAUUAUCUAAAAGAGGUGUGGAUCGGAAUCAGUUUUUUUCCUGCACCCCCGAUCCAACGAGGCUGCGCACACAUGCACACUGAAUUUAUAUAUAUAAUGCUUCGAGAUCUGAAACUAAAAGUCAGAGAGAUAAAUUCAAGAAAGCUUCAGCUUUAAACACGUAUAUCUGAAGAGUUCCGGGAUUCCAAUCGCCUGAUUCUGGUAACAUCAGAUGUUUCAACGCGUGGAGUGAAUUAUCCAGAUGUUACCCCGCCAUUGGGAAGACCCUAUGUCGCAGCCAUCAGCCUUGUGUCUGGAGCCCCUUGCAGGUGUACAACCGGCACAAACUCUCCAGCGCGGGCAGCAUAAGGAAUUUGGUUUGGGCCCUCAUCUGUAGGUCAUGACGGCUGAUGUUGUCCUCUUCUCCUAUGACGUUGAUAUUAAAUCCCUUCCUCCAAGGUAAUCAGACAAAUCACCUUCAUAUAUACAACUUUGUUUCUCCCCAUGUUUCACUCACCCCCUACAAUAUUUUGUGGAAUCCGUGAGCUUUCUUCUGUAUCCACUUGCAUGUCAAACGUUGCGUGAUACACCAGAGGAUGUAUUUAUGGAGUAAAUUGAUGUUCAGGUAUUGUAGCUUAUUUUCACAAUUUUGAAAAUGGUGUGAUUUAGUUGAUAUAGGCAAUUGGUGUAGAAAAUAUAAUGAUUGUAUGCUCAGUUUUUGUAUCAUGAUGCUAUCAUCCCCAUAGUUGUGUUCUGCGUCUUUUUUAGUUAUGUUCUUUCAGUUUUCCUGUGUGGAAGGAUCCAACAAAAAAAAGGAAGAGUUUGUUAGUGAUCAUGUUUCGGUGCUGCGUACAAUAAGUUACCCGCUUUGAGUUUUAAUUUGUCAGAAGUAGACUUGAACUUUUGCUCUGCAUGAUUACAACGGAGCACCAACAUAGUUCUAGUAGGUAUAUGAUUCUGGAGUCGUUCGGCUGGAUACUUAUACCAUUUGCUCUAUGUAUGUUGGAUUUAACAAAUUAUCAAGUAUACUAUGGUAUAGUCUAUGAGCAUCUUGAAUUUUGCUGUAAAUCCAAAGUUUAUUUUUGUACAUCCUGUAGAUUAUCGGUCUCUAAAUCAUGUAGUCCGUUUCAGGUAUAUGAGUGGCAGCUGUAGUACUACGUGAAGAUUAUAAAAACAGGUUGAAUGUUUUUGCUCUCUAAUUCAUUAGUAGUUGCGCUAAUUAUCAUGUGAUUCCAUGGCAAUAGUGCGCAAUCUUAUAAGCUGCCCUCAAGAACAUGAAGGUUUAUUCCCUUUGAUUUCCUUUAUCCUUAUAAAUACACGUUGCUUAUUACAGUUCCAAAAUAUGCCAAAAUUUUGAGCAGAAAGCAAUAUUUGCUACAGAUUUAUGCAUUUAGCUAGGCCGCCGGUAAGACUUUGCACUGAGAUAGUAAUUCUGUUCCACCAUCCAUGUUAUUGUAUUCCUAGCCAUUUUUCCUACAACUUUUAUUGUAUGCUUAAAAUGUUAUCUUCAAUACAGGUAAAGUAAAAUGCAGAAACCCUCUUUCCAUGGCAAAAAAAUUUGUAAGCUCAUAUGUUAUAGUUUUUCUAGGCAAAAGCUAGCCAGCUGUAAAGAAAUCAAGGCAAAAAAAACAUCUUGGUAGACAUAGCUUAAGAGAACACAUCUGCCGACAUAAAAUGUGUCAUGUGCUAAGAUGUCCACCAAUAAUCCAGUACUUGCUGGAUACCUGUUUUGUUUGCUCCUUCUGUUUAGAUUUGAGUUGAUGGGGGUGAGAUGUGACCCCGCUGUUGGGCGUUGCAAAUGCCACGGCUCCAAUGUGUGCCCCAGCUUCGGUGAUGCACGGGCGAGGCUACUCGAUUUGGUGUAGUUGCCCUCCUUCCAAGAAAUCGUGUUUUUUUGUUCAGAUUUUAGAUCUCUUACUUUCAGCUUAGUUCAAGGAUAGAAAAGCUUGCUCCUUAUGGAUUCAACAAGACCAUUAGCCAGUUUUUCAGAAUUGGAUGAUAUGGUGCACCUUCAUUUUGCUGUCCAAUUUCUUAGCUUAUUUGCUUUAAUUGUGCUACAGUUAUAUAGCAGGAUAAGUAUCCAAUCUUGUGACACCUCUCCAUUUGCACCAUCGUCAAAAGUUGCACAUGAGUUGAUUCGGACUUUCAGAGUUCAGAGAACACCUGGCCGAGUCAAUCGGCCUAAAGGUAUAUCAGAUCGUAAGGAAAGGGUUCCCGGUUCAGAUUUUUCACUACUUUGUGUUGUUGGAUAGCCAUGGUAUGUGAUAGUUUUAUUUUACUGCAGAAGUUCAAUUCUUGGGAGUUAGGAUAUGAGGUGUAUACAUCACUUUUCUUACGAAUCUAUUCUCUUUUAGUGCACUAUCUAUCUAUCUAAUCUGUCUAUCCAAGUUUUCAAAGAAAUUGAUGGCGGCGGCUCAGCAGCGUCGUGGCGAAUGGCGAAGCUUCUAAAAUGGACGGAGAGUGGUGGUGAUGCGUGGCUGGGAGAAGACAUGUGUGCUAUUUCUGAAAAAAGAAGCUUCUUUGUUGGCUGGCAUCCCUGAUGGUAGUUUUAGAUAUGUACCAAAACAACUGGCGUCUCAUAAUUCAUUGGAUGUAGACCAAAAGGAUCAGUUACAAAUUCUUGCCUAUAAAUGACUUUCAGUUUCUAGCUUUCAUAAAAUUUAGACAUGUACUCUUUAACAGUAUGUUCUGGUUUAUGGUGGGCCUAUGUGCUGGUUGAAAUUAUCAUGUUGGAUAAUA
Molecule: long non-coding RNA, 4041 nt
Organism: Triticum aestivum (bread wheat)
Lineage: Eukaryota; Viridiplantae; Streptophyta; Magnoliopsida; Poales; Poaceae
Exons: 2
Source: RefSeq, a predicted model, not a curated record